GAUGAACGCUAGCUACAGGCUUAACACAUGCAAGUCGAGGGGCAGCAUGAACUUAGCUUGCUAAGUUUGAUGGCGACCGGCGCACGGGUGAGUAACACGUAUCCAACCUGCCGAUGACUCGGGGAUAGCCUUUCGAAAGAAAGAUUAAUACCCGAUGGCAUAGUUCUUCCGCAUGGUAGAACUAUUAAAGAAUUUCGGUCAUCGAUGGGGAUGCGUUCCAUUAGGUUGUUGGCGGGGUAACGGCCCACCAAGCCUUCGAUGGAUAGGGGUUCUGAGAGGAAGGUAGCUGACAUUGGAACUGGGACACGGACCAAAGUCCUACGGCACGCAGCAAUGAGGAAUAGUGGGCAAUGGACGAGAGUCUGACCCAGCGAAGUAGCGUGAAGGAUGACUGUCCUAUGGGUUGUAAACUUCUUUUAGACGGGAAUAAAGUGAGCAACGGGUGCCUUAUUGUAUGUACCGGAUGAAGAAGGAUCGGCUAACUUCGUG
Molecule: ribosomal RNA, 489 nt
Filed under: uncultured bacterium
Lineage: Bacteria
Description: partial 16S ribosomal RNA
Rfam family: Bacterial small subunit ribosomal RNA
Source: RNAcentral